GAUGAAGGAGGGGCUSUGGUGAGCUUUGAAAGAUUUUAUAGAUGUCUCUUUGGGCCUGUGUAAGGAGUGGUUUGCGUAGCAAGAGGUGCUCUGUGCCAAGACUCUGUCAGUGCUUCUGCUCCUGCUCGGAGCYGAGGCUCCUCUGGCCGUGGCGCGGCUCGCUGGGACUGAUGUCAAAGAAACGUCCACUGGGGUCGACCCUCCAAGAUAGAUACCGUUUCCUUCUCAGUGCAGGUAGAAACACGACCUGGGAGAGCGCGGCAAGAGCCUGCAGAAAAUGGACUUAG
Molecule: long non-coding RNA, 287 nt
Filed under: Dromaius novaehollandiae (emu)
Lineage: Eukaryota; Metazoa; Chordata; Aves; Casuariiformes; Dromaiidae
Description: lncRNA (ENSDNVG00000000231.1)
Source: RNAcentral